AACUGGUCUGAAGGCAGUGAGUUAUCUCCCUUUGAUGGUUCACAGUUAGUUACAGAUAAAACAUCCCUAUUCUAUCCAGAGAGAAAACCCUUUCGCUCCUUCUCGCUACUGCGCUUGAGUAGUCUUUA
Molecule: Y RNA, 128 nt
Filed under: Cebus imitator (Panamanian white-faced capuchin)
Lineage: Eukaryota; Metazoa; Chordata; Mammalia; Primates; Cebidae
Description: Y RNA (ENSCCAG00000015034.1)
Rfam family: Y RNA
About the family: Y RNAs are components of the Ro ribonucleoprotein particle (Ro RNP), in association with Ro60 and La proteins. The Y RNAs and Ro60 and La proteins are well conserved, but the function of the Ro RNP is not known.
Source: Rfam by way of RNAcentral